AUUAUUUCAUUUAAAAGAAACAGUCGAAAUCUCAUGCAAAAUGAAAGCCCAAGUAAUUUCAUUUAUAUGUAAAAAAAAAAUAAAAGCAACAGAUAUCAGAGUGUUCUAAAUGGAUAUCAGUCACGGUAAAAUCAGAAACGCAGAUCAAUUAAAAUACUCAUCAUAUCUCACAAUAAUUGAAGAAAAAAAUUAAUAAAACCAAAAGACAUGUAUUUUUUUAAACAAAGAAAACAUCAUCAGGGACUUCAAUACCAAGAAUCACACCAUCGACAGAUGGGACAGCGUCAAGAAAUAGAGCGGAGUAUGGUUUCUUCCAUUGGCAGCGCAGCUAGGUUACCAGAAAACACUACAAAAGUGGUUUAUUUAUAGAGGUGUAACCCUAAAUCUAGACCGUGUGUUUUAAUGGGCACUGGAAUACCAAACACUGUGCUUCACCCUUCAGCUGUCCUCCCGUGGAGGCCCAGCCUGCAGCCGUUGUUUC
This 481-nucleotide long non-coding RNA is filed under the name Populus trichocarpa (black cottonwood). RNAcentral describes it as "long non-coding RNA (PTRI_LNC001243)". The record is from RNAcentral. Lineage: Eukaryota; Viridiplantae; Streptophyta; Magnoliopsida; Malpighiales; Salicaceae.